UGGGGAAUUUUGGACAAUGGGCGAAAGCCUGAUCCAGCAAUGCCGCGUGUGUGAAGAAGGCCUUCGGGUUGUAAAGCACUUUUGUCCGGAAAGAAAUCCUUGGCUCUAAUACAGUCGGGGGGAUGACGGUACCGGAAGAAUAAGCACCGGCUAACUACGUGCCAGCAGCCGCGGUAAUACGUAGGGUACAAGCGUUAAUCGGAAUUACUGGGCGUAAAGCGUGCGCAGGCGGUUUGCUAAGACCGAUGUGAAAUCCCCGGGCUCAACCUGGGAACUGCAUUGGUGACUGGCAGGCUAGAGUAUGGCAGAGGGGGGUAGAAUUCCACGUGUAGCAGUGAAAUGCGUAGAGAUGUGGAGGAAUACCGAUGGCGAAGGCAGCCCCCUGGGCCAAUACUGACGCUCAUGCACGAAAGCGUGGGGAGCAAACAGGAUUAGAUACCCUGGUAGUCCACGCCCUAAACGAUGUCAACUAGUUGUUGGGGAUUCAUUUCCUUAGUAACGUAGCUAACGCGUGAAGUUGACCGCCUGGGGAGUACGGUCGCAAGAUUAAAACUUAAAUGAAUUGACGGGGUCAUAGCUGUUUCCU
This 586-nucleotide ribosomal RNA is filed under the name uncultured bacterium. RNAcentral describes it as "partial 16S ribosomal RNA". It matches the Rfam family "Bacterial small subunit ribosomal RNA", at positions 355 to 1375 of the family's 1533-position model. The record is from RNAcentral.